RNAcentral lists this ribosomal RNA (543 nucleotides) under Petasospora taoyuanica. Its description in RNAcentral is "eukaryotic LSU rRNA". The stretch from base 167 to 320 matches the Rfam family "5.8S ribosomal RNA". Lineage: Eukaryota; Fungi; Ascomycota; Saccharomycetes; Phaffomycetales; Wickerhamomycetaceae. The record is from RNAcentral.
CUGCGCUUUACUAGCGCGGCGACCAAACCUUACACACAGUGCUUAGUUUUUUCUAACAUUGCUUUGGUCUUCUCUCCGGGGAGGGCCAGAGGUUAUAAAACCCUGAUUUUUAUUAAUCUUUUAUUCUAAACAUUAGUCAAGAAGUUUUUAUUAAACAAAUCUUCAAAACUUUCAACAACGGAUCUCUUGGUUCUCGCAACGAUGAAGAACGCAGCGAAAUGCGAUACGUAAUGUGAAUUGCAGGUUUUCGUGAAUCAUCGAAUCUUUGAACGCAUAUUGCGCCCUCUGGUAUUCCGGAGGGCAUGCCUGUUUGAGCGUCAUUUCUCUCUCAAACCCUCGGGUUUGGUAUUGAGUGAUACUCAGCUUCUGGGUUAACUUGAAAUACUUGUGGCAAGAGCUGCUUGUGCAGAUCUCCUCUGAACUAACGUUUCUAGGUUCUACCAAAUUCGUUAAGUGACGGGCGACGGACGUACUUGCUUUUUUAGGCUCGGCCUUUACAAUAUCUUCUAAAAGUUUGACCUCAAAUCAGGUAGGAAUACCCGC